Molecule: long non-coding RNA, 1430 nt
Organism: Pseudoliparis swirei
Lineage: Eukaryota; Metazoa; Chordata; Actinopteri; Perciformes; Liparidae
Exons: 5
Source: RefSeq, a predicted model, not a curated record
AGUGAUACGAAGGCAUGUGUGAUCAGAGGGGGGGCGUGUACAGUCGUCAGUCCGCUCUUGGAGUUACCCGAAUCCAGUCAGUCACGGUGUUAUGUAUGGUUAAGCUAAUAAAGAUACUUGGAGAUACAACGGGCUCAAAACCCUAUUAUUCCAUAACACUACAGUAACGAGGAAUAAUUCAACCACAACCGUAUGAUGGAGAACUUCUCGGCCACAGCGAAUGUGGUACAACGUUUUUUUAAUUUUUUACUUGAACAUCAUUUCUUAUUUUGUGAUAUUUAAUGGAAAUGACAUCCAUUAUAACCAAUAGCAAGUUUGAAACUAAGCUCCCUGCCAACCUCCCUACAGACUAUUUAUGACUUCAAUCUAUCUAUCUAUCUAUAUCUAGGAUAAGCAUUUGUAAUCAUAUUUGUCUGUGAACUCUUCCAUUAAACUGAUGGCUUUUUAGCCGUAAAAAUGCAUCUUGACGAGGAGUUAUUUGCAGUUUGACUAAUUGCUUUUGUUGUUUCUUUUGUAGGCUUUGAAAAACCUGGCAAUGAAUUAUUCUGGCUGAGUUCUGUCGCUUAUCAAGCAAAAAUUUGAGUUGCAAUCAGAGUUCUUCAAAGAUCUCGACAAAUAUACUCCUCGCUUCCUGGAGAAGUUCAAAACCCAGAGGGGGAAAGUGUCGGACAGAAACUUGAAUAUCUGCAACAAGUCACACCUGGGAGUACAGAUGUGACUGGGAGGUGAACAGCAGUCCUCCGUGGCUCUCCCGUCAUCCUUGGAGAUGACAACGCAGACUUCUUCAAGAAUUUGUGUGAGUUUAGGAUGGCAUGAAGCUUCGACUUGACCCUAUGGAAACAGCAGAAGCUACGAACGGGUCCUGAUCGGGGACUCUGAUGACCUUCUGGACGUGUCCCACGCCUCCAUUGGGACCCUGACGGUGCUGAAGACAUUGUGGCCUCCUCACUCGCUGGACCUGGAGUCUACAACUACUGCCAUCGUUUUGGGAGGAACAGUCGUGAUGGGUGACCGUGAUAAUCUUCCCUGUGCCGUGUGGCUACUGUUCGGACUUAUUUACCCCUGAAUUUGGAGUAUCCUCAACGAGUGAGGAACACCUUCUGAAUUUAUUCAUAGAGUGCUUCUCACUUGGACCAAAAACCCUAAAAUACAAUCACUCAAAUAUCUACUGAUGCCAUAAGGGACUGUGUUCAUGAUGUGCAGUCAGGCCCGAGAACUUCACCCUUCUAUCUCCAAUUGAACUCUUUUCUAGAAAAUGUCUGUUUUUGUUGUUUUUCUCUCGUGAAAUUUAGCAAAUGCCGAAAACGCUGUGUUCAUCAUAUAUCUGCGUUACAAAACCUAAUCUGGCAACAUGUUCAGCGUUUUAAGCACGUUGUUUGAGUUUUAAAACAUGUGUUUUUCUUCUAAAUAAACGUUGUCUUCCAUUGUAA